Gavialis gangeticus (Gharial) is the source of this 92-nucleotide long non-coding RNA. RefSeq lists it as uncharacterized. The record is from RefSeq and is a predicted model, not a curated record. Lineage: Eukaryota; Metazoa; Chordata; Crocodylia; Gavialidae. The transcript has 3 exons.
GGGUGCAUCUACCUAUGCACUUUACUGUGGUUGACUAAUUAGCUCCACAGUAAAGAAUUACUGUCUACAUAUGUUGUGUUAUUGGGCUGGAG